GAUCCUGGCUCAGGACGAACGCUGGCGGCGUGCCUAACACAUGCAAGUCGAGCGGAGACAGUGAGUAGCUUGCUAUGAGCUGUUUUAGCGGCGGACGGGUGAGUAACGCGUGAGCAACCUUUCCCAGACAGGGGGAAUAACACACCGAAAGGUGUACUAAUACCGCAUAAGACCACGGGAUCACAUGGUUCUGGGGUAAAAGAUUUAUCGGUUUGGGGUGGGCUCGCGUCCGAUUAGGUAGUUGGUGAGGUAACGG
RNAcentral lists this ribosomal RNA (256 nucleotides) under uncultured bacterium. RNAcentral describes it as "partial 16S ribosomal RNA". It matches the Rfam family "Bacterial small subunit ribosomal RNA", at positions 15 to 263 of the family's 1533-position model. The record is from RNAcentral.